UACAGAGGUGGCAAGCGUUGUUCGGAAUUACUGGGCGUAAAGGGCGCGUAGGCGGUCAGGUCAGUCCCGUGUGAAAUCCCUCGGCUCAACUGAGGAACUGCACGGGAAACUGCCUGGCUUGAGUUCGGGAGAGGGAAGCGGAAUUCCGGGUGUAGCGGUGAAAUGCGUAGAUAUCCGGAGGAACACCUGUGGCGAAAGCGGCUCACUGGACCACAACUGACGCUGAUGCGCGAAAGCUAGGGGAGCAAACAGG
This 253-nucleotide ribosomal RNA is filed under the name uncultured bacterium. RNAcentral's name for it is "partial 16S ribosomal RNA". It matches the Rfam family "Bacterial small subunit ribosomal RNA", at positions 524 to 776 of the family's 1533-position model. The record is from RNAcentral.